RNAcentral lists this ribosomal RNA (392 nucleotides) under uncultured Streptococcus sp. Its description in RNAcentral is "bacterial SSU rRNA". It matches the Rfam family "Bacterial small subunit ribosomal RNA", at positions 975 to 1368 of the family's 1533-position model. The record is from RNAcentral. Lineage: Bacteria; Bacillati; Bacillota; Bacilli; Lactobacillales; Streptococcaceae.
CAGGUCUUGACAUCCCUCUGACCGCUCUAGAGAUAGAGUUUUCCUUCGGGACAGAGGUGACAGGUGGUGCAUGGUUGUCGUCAGCUCGUGUCGUGAGAUGUUGGGUUAAGUCCCGCAACGAGCGCAACCCCUAUUGUUAGUUGCCAUCAUUCAGUUGGGCACUCUAGCGAGACUGCCGGUAAUAAACCGGAGGAAGGUGGGGAUGACGUCAAAUCAUCAUGCCCCUUAUGACCUGGGCUACACACGUGCUACAAUGGCUGGUACAACGAGUCGCAAGCCGGUGACGGCAAGCUAAUCUCUUAAAGCCAGUCUCAGUUCGGAUUGUAGGCUGCAACUCGCCUACAUGAAGUCGGAAUCGCUAGUAAUCGCGGAUCAGCACGCCGCGGUGAAUA